RNAcentral lists this transfer RNA (77 nucleotides) under Methylotenera sp. Its description in RNAcentral is "tRNA-Arg". It matches the Rfam family "tRNA". From Rfam's summary of the family: Transfer RNA (tRNA) molecules are approximately 80 nucleotides in length. Their secondary structure includes four short double-helical elements and three loops (D, anti-codon, and T loops). Further hydrogen bonds mediate the characteristic L-shaped molecular structure. tRNAs have two regions of fundamental functional importance: the anti-codon, which is responsible for specific mRNA codon recognition, and the 3' end, to which the tRNAs corresponding amino acid is attached (by aminoacyl-tRNA synthetases). tRNAs cope with the degeneracy of the genetic code in two manners: having more than one tRNA (with a specific anti-codon) for a particular amino acid; and 'wobble' base-pairing, i.e. permitting non-standard base-pairing at the 3rd anti-codon position. Lineage: Bacteria; Pseudomonadati; Pseudomonadota; Betaproteobacteria; Nitrosomonadales; Methylophilaceae. The record is from RNAcentral.
GCGCCCGUAGCUCAGUUGGAUAGAGUGUUGGUUUCCGAAGCCGAAGGUCACAGGUUCAACUCCUGUCGGGCGCGCCA